AAAUAUGACAGCUGAAGGAGGUAUCAGGUGUCCGACACUAACAUGUGACAGACAAGUGUUUGACACGUUUUUGCAGUGAUAAUUUUUUUUCCUGCUUUGAUUCGGUGACAGCAGGUACAUUUAGCUUGGCAUACACUGGACACAUUUUUUUUUGUUUUAUCAAAAAAUUAAAAAAAUCAACCUAAAGAUUAAAUUAUAACAACAAUCAAGUUUUCUUUUUAAAAGUUAACCUACUUUGGUAAACCUAAUUUGGACACACAUCUUUUGAUUUUCUCCUGUUCAUGCUUGUCCCUUUUGCAAGUUCCCGCACUUGUCCGUUCACGUUCUCCAAUACGUUGACAUCACUGGUUCUCAUCCAUUUGUCGGCAUCUCCGGUUCGCGUUCGUUUGUCUUGCUUCUCUGGUUUGCACUCCUUUUGUCUUGUGUCUCUAGUUCGCAGUUUUCUCAAUGCUUUGUUUUUUUGUUUCUUUUUUGUUUUUGUUUUUGAUUUCUAUUAUUUUCUGAAUUCGCAUAUCUCUGUUUACUUUGUUUUUUUCUUUGGUUGUUUUUAAUUUUCUAGAAUUCAUUAAUUCUAUGAGGCCUUAGGUUUUAUUAUCCUUAAAUUCAUUAUGCAUUUGAGGAGAAUAUGUUUGUUAAAAUAUCACUGGAGGAACUUGGGAGUUGAGACUAAGUGGUUUCUAUAACAGUGAAAAUGAAAAUUACAAGUUUCUCUACUAUUCUUUAUUCUAUAUUUUGUAUCAUGUUUCUUUAUUUAUGUUUUUUAGAUAUUGGCUAUAGUUUUCCAGUUUUGUAAUUUUCUGAUAUUAACAAAUUUUUUUAUAGUAUUAAAUUAAGUUCUAAAAGACAUUCAUAUGAAAUUAUUAUAGAGAUAAGUACUUCUGAUCAAGCUAAAGAACAAGUUGAUGGCACCAUAACUCUAUGGAAUUAUGUAACAAAAUUAAGACGGAUUGCAGUUAAAAUUUUGAAAUCAAAUGCAAUAUAUGUGAAGUAAAUUUUAUUAUGUCUUACACUAGAGUAAAGACACACUUGUUAAAAACGAUAAGAAGUGGAAUUAGAGUUUGUCAAAAGAUAGCUCCUUCAAGACAUGCAUAGUUUAUAAAGAUGGACAAUGAGGCUACAUUGAGAGUAGAGAAGUCAAAGACAAAGUCUGUCCCUUUACCUUUAGUGUUUAAUGAAUGUCAAGAGACAAACAUUGAUGUUGAUCCAAUACUUCAAAAGAUGCUACUUAGGCAACCAUGUCAAUUUUCAUGUUGUGAAAGAAAUUGGAGCACAUACUCUUUCAUUCAUUCUAUAUAAAAAGAAAUAAGAUGACACCUCAUAGGUCAUAGGACAGAGGACCUAACAUUUGUUACUUCAUAGAAAUCUCUGUCUCCUUUCAAGAAAUUCCCCACAAUGCCAUUAAGAGGAAACUAAAUUGUGGGCCAUUGCAAGAGAUGAAUUUGGGUCACUUGAUGAAAUGAAAUUCUUGAAGUUGUUCAUUUAUCUCUUGAUGAACUAAGAACUUAGCAAGUUUUUUUUUUUUUUUUUAGUGAGAGACUCUUUAUUAAAGAACUUAGCAAGUUGUUUUUUUAGAUUCUUUGCAUUGUUGAAUAUAAUGCCUCUUAGUACCUUAUUUUUGUAAGGCUUAUUAUCAUAUGAAAAUUAUAAAGCUUAACAACUUGUUUUAAGAGAAAUCUAAAAAUUUAAGAAAAUAACUUGCUAGGUCUUUAAUAAAAAAUCACAAAAAAAAAAUAAAUACUAAGAGGUUAUCAAUAAAAGAAAAAAUCCAAAAAAAAUAACUUGCUAAUAUUAAUCUAAGUCCUUCCACUUCCUUCUUGGUCAUCUUCAUUGAAAAACACAACUUCUAAUUCUGGUUCAUCAAGAGAUAAAUUAGCAACUUCAACAAUUCCAUUCUCAUCACGUGAUCCAAAUUCAUCUUUUGUAAUGUCCUACAUUUUAGUUUUCUUAUCGUGGGGAACUUCUUGAAAGGAGAUGAAGACUGCUAUGAACAAAUACUAGAUCCUCUGCCCUGUGAGGUGUCAUCUUAUUUCUUUUUAUAAAAUGAAUGAAAGAGUAUGUGCUUCAAUUUCUUUCACAACGUAAAGAUGAACAUGGGGCAUGUAUGUUUGUCUCUUGGCUUUCAUUAGACACCGGAGGUAAAGGGACAAAUUCUGUCUAACUUCUCUAUUUUCAACGUAGCCUCAUUGUCCAUGUCUUUGACUUCUCUAUUUUCAAUUUAGCCUUGUGUCCAUCUUUUUAAACUCUACAAGUCUUGAAGGAGUUAUCUUUUGACUAACUCUAACUUCUAUUCCUGUCUUUUUUAACAUGUGUGCCUGUUCCUUUACUCUAGUGUGUAAGACCCAUUAAAAUUUACUUCACACAUAUUAUCUUUGAUUUCAAAAUUUCCACUACCAAGAACUCUUAAUAUUGUAACAUAAUUCCAUAGAGGUUUGUUGUCAUCCUGUUCUUUAGCAUGAGCAGAAGUGUUCAUCUCUGCAAUAAUUUCAUAUAAAUGUAAUUUAGAGUUUACCAAAAUUCUUAUGUGAAAGGGUUUUAUGCCUAGAAUUCUUAAUUUUGUAACAUUAUUCCAAAAGGUUUUUAUGGGAAAUGUUUUCCAAAAUAGAUUAACUUUAAAUAGGAAAUUUGAUUAUUGUUAUAAGUUAAUCUUUAAGCUGAUUUUUUAAAUUUUUGAUAAAAAAAAAAACAAGGGGUGUGUCUGGUGCGUGUCAAGCUAAAUGGGCCAUGUCGAAGCUGGAAAACAAAAUUUGGAC
RNAcentral lists this long non-coding RNA (2750 nucleotides) under Glycine max (soybean). RNAcentral describes it as "long non-coding RNA (GMAX_LNC004331)". The record is from RNAcentral. Lineage: Eukaryota; Viridiplantae; Streptophyta; Magnoliopsida; Fabales; Fabaceae.